AAGUAAAUGAACAUGAAAUUCAAAGGGAAACAGGAGCAAUAAUCAUUACCAGCUGCCGUGUUAAGCAUUGCGAAAACGCUCACGAUUCACAGAAAAAUCCAUGCUGUUCUUUGAAGGCAUUCAAGCCUUAAUAGCUAGCUGGAUGAAUGUUUAACUUCUAGGCCAGGCACUACUCUGUCCCAACAAUAAGCCCUGUACAUUGGGAAAGGUGCCGAGACAUGAACUUUGGUCUUCUCUGCAAUCCAUCUGGAGCAUUCAGUGACAACAUCGACUUUGAAGUUGCACUGACCUGGCCAGCCCUGCCACUUACCAGGUUGGGCUGUGGCUUGCCUUUUCACUUCUUGUGUCCUGUUUAAGAAAUAUCUACUAUCCCAAGCAUCUGGCAUCUUUCUUGACACAUGUAGCAGUUGCUUUUUGACAGCUUGCUUCUUCAGUGAAUGAAUAAAUUAAUAAAGAGAAAUGUGAUGUUCAGUGAUCCAUUUUGCAGAUAACACUAACAAAGUUGACCUUAGAAUUGGAGUGCCUGGGUUAGAACCCUGCUGGUACCACCUGCUUACUGCAUGCUUCUGAUGUGAGUUCAGGAGAAGACACUGGCAAGGACAGCAAAGAACAGGAGAACACUCUAGCUUCCCUGAUAGCAUUCAAGGUGCUGUCCAAACUGACUGUGAUGGCACCCUCCAGACAGACAGCGAUGCCACAUGUUCAAGAUGGCAGAAUCACUAUCAGCUUCAAUUCCUGAAUGACUGCAGAGCAAAAUUUCUUACCCGCAACAUACACUCUAUUUUCAGCCUCCCUGGACUGUUACAUAAUGAUACAUAAAAAUAUUUCUUGUGUUGAGGCAUCCCAAAUUUGAUCUAUUUGUCAUCACAGUCUAUCCUCUGAAUAUAUUUCUGAUCCAAAUAAUGCUAGAUUCAUGCGAGUUUAUAGUCCAGAGAUUUUUUUUUUUUUUUUUUUUUGAGACAGAAUCUCACUGUCUCCCAGGCCGGGGUGCAGUGGCAUAAUCUUAGCUCACUGCAACCUCCACCUCCUGGGCUCAAGUGAUCCUCCCUCCUUAGCCUCCAUGAGUAGCUGGGACCACAGGUGUGCACCACCACACCCCGCUAAUUAUUUUGUAUUUUUUGCAGAGGGGGGUUUCACCACAUUGCCCAAGCUGGUCUCAAACUCCUAGACUUAAGGGAUCUGCCCGCCUUGGCCUCCCAAAAUGCUGAAAUUACACUUGUUAGCCAUAGUAAUAGUUCCUAGCCACAGUCCGGAGAUAUUUUAAAAACUUUAGUGUGAGUUAUUUCUCUUUGCUGUAAUUCUCUCAUGCAUUUUGAAAACCUUUUCUGCCAUACAGUGGUUUUUGGGAAGUCCUUUUGGACAGACAUAUCACAGGAUGGAGAAACUAAAGA
This 1391-nucleotide long non-coding RNA is filed under the name Pan troglodytes (chimpanzee). Its description in RNAcentral is "lincRNA". The record is from RNAcentral. Lineage: Eukaryota; Metazoa; Chordata; Mammalia; Primates; Hominidae.